Molecule: ribosomal RNA, 254 nt
Filed under: uncultured bacterium
Lineage: Bacteria
Description: partial 16S ribosomal RNA
Rfam family: Bacterial small subunit ribosomal RNA
Source: RNAcentral
UACGUAGGGGGCAAGCGUUGUCCGGAUUUAUUGGGCGUAAAGAGCUCGUAGGCGGUUCCGUAAGUCGUGAAGUCAAAUCUCUGGGCUCAACCCAGAAUCGCUUCCGAUACUGCGGUGACUGGAGUCCGGUAGGGGAGUGUGGAAUUCCUGGUGUAGCGGUGAAAUGCGCAGAUAUCAGGAAGAACACCCGUGGCGAAGGCGGUUCUCUGGGACGGUACUGACGCUGAGACGCGAAAGCGUGGGGAGCGAACAGG